Molecule: long non-coding RNA, 780 nt
Filed under: Medicago truncatula (barrel medic)
Lineage: Eukaryota; Viridiplantae; Streptophyta; Magnoliopsida; Fabales; Fabaceae
Description: long non-coding RNA (MTRU_LNC007407)
Source: RNAcentral
AAACCCAAAGUUUGAGUUUGAGAGUUUUUACUUUUGAGACCACAACAGCUAAAAUCCAAAAUCAUAACAUAGCUUCACAACCUAAAAUCACAAUCGAAAUUGGGAAAAAGUUCAUAAUCUCAACAAAAAACCAUCCAAAAAAUUACUAAAUAUAUCAAUUUUAGAAUUUUAAAUCCACAACAAUGAAAGAGAUAUUUGAGUACAUACCUUUUGAUGGAGAGUUUUUACUUUUAAGAGCACAACAACCAAAAUCCAAAAUGAUAAUAUAACUUCACAAUCUAAAUGCACAAUCAAAAUUGGGAAAAAGUGCAUAAUUUCAACAUAAACCCAUCCUCCAAAUAGUUACUAAUUUGUCAACAAUGGAUUACCUUGUGCUGCAAGUAACAAUCCCACAUAAAGCCAGAAAUUAUGAACUAGUUUGGAAAUAUACCAACAAUGGCUCUCUAAGCUUGAAGGAUGCCUACAACUUUAAGUCUCAUCAUCUCCAAGAGGUUAGAUAGGGCAAGAUCUUGUGGUCCAUUCAUAUUCCUCCUUCAAAAUCUCUGCUUUCUUGAAGGUUGAUGCAAGAGGUUAAGGCAACCAAGAGUGAAGAGUUUAGCCUUACCUAUAAUCUUGGUGUGCUAGAACUAUGAAUCAAUUCCUUUGUCUAUGUGCAAAUGACAAAAAGUUUGAGAGAUCACAUUUUUCGAACUAUGUUUCCUAGAUUUUUGAGAAAUCAAACACUCAUUGAAAUUAAACAUAUAAAUUACUACGAAUUAAACCAGCUCAAUUUGUGAUUAU